Molecule: ribosomal RNA, 468 nt
Filed under: uncultured bacterium
Lineage: Bacteria
Description: partial 16S ribosomal RNA
Rfam family: Bacterial small subunit ribosomal RNA
Source: RNAcentral
GACGAACGCUGGCGGCGUGCUUAACACAUGCAAGUCGAACGGAAAUGCCCUGCUUUUGUGGGGUGCUCGAGUGGCGAACGGGUGAGUAACACGUGAGUAACCUGCCCUUGACUUUGGGAUAACUUCAGGAAACUGGGGCUAAUACCGGAUAGGAGCUCCUGCUGCAUGGUGGGGGUUGGAAAGUUUCGGCGGUUGGGUAUGGACUCGCGGCUUAUCAGCUUGUUGGUGGGGUAGUGGCUUACCAAGGCUUUGACGGGUAGCCGGCCUGAGAGGGUGACCGGCCACAUUGGGACUGAGAUACGGCCCAGACUCCUACGGGAGGCAGGAGUGGGGAAUAUAGCACAAUGGGAGGAAGCCUGAUGCAGCAACGCCGCGUGCGGGAUGACGGUCUUCGGGUUGUAAACCGCUUUCGCCUGUGACGAAGCGUGAGUGACGGUAAUGGGUAAAGAAGCACCGGCUAACUACGUG